UGGAUGAUGUGGAUUAAUUCGAUGCAACGCGAAAAACCUUACCUACCCUUGACAUGCCAGGAACUUUCCAGAGAUGGAUUGGUGCCCGAAAGGGAGCCUGGACACAGGUGCUGCAUGGCUGUCGUCAGCUCGUGUCGUGAGAUGUUGGGUUAAGUCCCGCAACGAGCGCAACCCUUGUCAUUAAUUGCCAUCAUUUAGUUGGGCACUUUAAUGAGACUGCCGGUGACAAACCGGAGGAAGGUGGGGAUGACGUCAAGUCCUCAUGGCCCUUAUGGGUAGGGCUUCACACGUCAUACAAUGGUCGGUACAGAGGGCUGCCAAACCGCGAGGUGGAGCUAACCCCAGAAAACCGAUCGUAGUCCGGAUCGCAGUCUGCAACUCGACUGCGUGAAGCUGGAAUCGCUAGUAAUCGCGGAUCAGCAUGUCGCGGUGAAUACGUUCCCGGGUCUUGUACACACCGCCCGUCACACCAUGGGAGUGGGUUUUGCCAGAAGUAGGUAGCCUAACCGUAAGGAGGGCGCUUACCACGGCAGGAUUCAUGACUGGGGUGAAGUCGUAACAAG
Molecule: ribosomal RNA, 563 nt
Filed under: uncultured beta proteobacterium
Lineage: Bacteria; Pseudomonadati; Pseudomonadota; Betaproteobacteria
Description: bacterial SSU rRNA
Rfam family: Bacterial small subunit ribosomal RNA
Source: RNAcentral